GGUGGCUCAGUGGUAGAGUGCAUGAGUUGCAAGCAUGAGACCCUGGGUUCGAUUCCUCAGCACCA
Molecule: transfer RNA, 65 nt
Filed under: Dipodomys ordii (Ord's kangaroo rat)
Lineage: Eukaryota; Metazoa; Chordata; Mammalia; Rodentia; Heteromyidae
Rfam family: tRNA
About the family: Transfer RNA (tRNA) molecules are approximately 80 nucleotides in length. Their secondary structure includes four short double-helical elements and three loops (D, anti-codon, and T loops).
Source: Rfam by way of RNAcentral